Long non-coding RNA from Manis javanica (Malayan pangolin), 2801 nucleotides. RefSeq lists it as uncharacterized. Lineage: Eukaryota; Metazoa; Chordata; Mammalia; Pholidota; Manidae. The record is from RefSeq and is a predicted model, not a curated record.
CCCAGAGUUGAGAACUGUCAAGGAUCAUCACGGCAAUGAGAGCGAGGCUCCGAGGGCGGCGGAGAAAUGACAGCAGGGCCCUGAGGGAUUACAGAACUUCUGGGAGUGAGAGGAGUGGACUAGAGAAGCGGUAGACUUGCAGUCAAUGGAAGGACCUCAGCUUAGUUUGAAGACUGGAGAUGCUGUGGAACCAAGCUGUCUCCUUGAGUGGUUUUGCUUCUUUGCUGUUGUCUGUUGGCUUUUUUUAAUCUCUGUGCUCAGCAACCCAGGUGCAGACAUGGAGAACAUGUGUCUUUGGGUUUAUUUAGUGUUGGGAGUUUGAGAGAGAGAUGAGGCAAAACAUUGAGAGGGAACUGGGAUAGACUUUAUAAACAGUGGUUAUUUAACUGAUGGAUUCUGGAAUCUGAAGAUGAGAAGGGAAGAGUGCAGUGGAGAUGCCUAUAAGGUUAAAGUAAGAAUAGUUUUACAAGCACGAUGGAAGGAAAUAGAGUUUUGUUUAGAGAAGGAGAUGACUGACUUAGGGACUUUGGAAUGUUGAGUAUAUAGUCUGCCACAUAACCAAGUGCAAAGAAUGAAUUUGGAUGGAUUAAAGAGGGUCAUUUGGAGAUGAAAAGGCUAGGGAAGGGAGCCGAAAUGUUCAGUCAUUCAUCCUUGUGGAAUUUGAGGUAAUGGGAGUUGCUGCUGGAAUUUGACAGAGUUUAGGUUGUAGCCAAAGAGAAUGGGUUGGAAUAUUUAAUGACUGAAAAUUCAUGAGACAGACUAGUUAAUGACUAAAGAGUGAAAAAUUGGAGGUCAACAGACAAUAGUAUUUAGAGAAUGGUAUAUUCAGAGCAGAAACCCCAAAGGGAGCAUUUAAAUUUUAACAGGAGGAGCAAUAAGAGGCUGCAGGGCAUGAUACAGACAGCACCCCACUUCUUAAUAUAGAGGUAAAACAGGUGAGAGAAAACAAUUAUCCACCACUUAAGCUAAGUAUAUAAAUGAGUGUAUAAAUAAUCAUGAAAUAAACUAAAUCCAUGGUAACCUGAAUUUAAAAUGCAUUUUAGAGUGAGCAUUAUAUACAUGCACCACAUACCAUAUAUAUCAUGGACACGUAUAUGUCUACACACAGACAUAUACCCAUAUAUAGUAGGAUUCGAGUUCCAGAAGGCAUAACAGAAUGGUUUGAAAAUGGGAGACUGAGCAAGGAGUAAGGGAUUGAACCAGUCAUAUGAUGAUGGUACAGUGAAGGACCGACAGGCAUAAGGGCUUAUAUUAGGCAAGAUAGGUUUGGACUCAGAGGUCACUUUCAAAAAGGUAGGUAUAAAAUGGGUAAAGUAAUUAACCAAUUAAUCACCUAUCCUAUAUCAAAACUAUGCCCAGACCUAGAAAUUCUAAAACAAACACAAAAACUUCUACCUGUGUCAUCAUUUUUUUCCCCUGAUUUCAACUCCACUACCCACCCACCCAAGCCUUUACCCAGGUUUGUUCUCUGCCUGGAACUUGCCAGACUCCUAACUCAACCCUCUCCCUGGUUUUAGUUUUCCAGGAAGGCUUAAUCAGUCUCUCCCUUGCAUCUUGUGCGUAUGUCUAUUCAAAUUGCUUUGACAAAUGUUUGCUGAAUUUAUUUCUCCCCUUAACAAUUUUCUCUUCUCAACAACUAACUUGUUGAACGAUGAUGUCUGUAGCAGAAGAUGCUUAAUAAAGGCUUACCAAACUGAAGGGGACUUCACGUACCUGCUCUCGCCUGAGCACAUUGCUUGCAACCAAACUCACUGGCCCAUGGACCUCAAGCAUUCCUUUUUCUCUAGAAAUGAGAACACUUAGGGAUCCGCAGAAAACACAGAAGGUUGUUGCUCAUCUUCUGAAAGCCCUACCCUAGUUGCACUUCUUUCAAGACCACUUCUUUGAAGAAGUAUUGAGUCAGGAAAUGCACACUACAAAACAAAGGACAAAAGCAAACUACCGACCGAUUACAACAAAUACCCGUUGAUAUAGUUCCCCCAAUUUAACCCAACUCUGAAAAUCUGCCAUAAAACUCAUCAAUGGAAUGAUUACUUCAGAAUAUUUCUAUGUUCAUUUAUAAAAGAAGUAAUCAUACAAGUUGUCUGGGUCAUCUACCGGCUUUGAGGAUCAGCUACUUUAAUGAAAAUACUUCUCUGUGCCUCAUAAUAAUAUUUUUACAUCUAGAGAAUAGGAACAUCAAAAGAAUUCAGUUUUCCAAGGCUUUCUCCCCCACUCUUAUGUCAUGGAAGCCCAGUAGAGGCUUCCAAUCCCAUUCUGAAGAUAAGAAAGCUUAUGAAAAGUGAAGGGAUUUUUGCCCAGAGUAACUCAUUUUAAUUAGGAACAGAGGUCAGGAACACAAAUAUGCUAGUGGAUUAUUCCAUUGGACUCAUAGUUAUAUUAAUUCAGUAGUUAAUUCCAAUAUCCCUGUGCUAGCUAGUAAAUAGAAACUAAUGAUGUACUGUUAAUCCUGAUGUAUGAAGGAAUAAAAUGCUAUGUGGGAAUCUUUCAGGUGCUUAUAAUACCUGACAUCCAUACAAAGCUUUUCCAUAUGCACAAGAUUUUCACAGCCAUCAUUUAAUUUUAUUCUCAGAACAGGGCAUUUGACAGCUGUGAGAAAACUACUGCGAAGAAAGAAGUGAAGAAACCGGUCCAUGUUUACGAAACUGGUCGUUGUCAGGGGUGGGAUUCGAGCCCGGGUCUUUUAACUUAUAUUCAAAUAUUCUCCUUUCAGGGAACUCUUAAAAAGAUAAGUUUUAUCUCUACAAGUACUAAAUAAGUUAUGCAGUUGUUUCACAAACAUUUUUAAACAUUGAUUAUGU